CCUACGGGGGGCAGCAGUGGGGAAUAUUGGACAAUGGGGGCAACCCUGAUCCAGCCAUGCCGCGUGUGUGAAGAAGGCCCUCGGGUUGUAAAGCACUUUCAGUGAGGAAGAACGCCUGGUGGUUAAUACCCAUCAGGAAAGACAUCACUCACAGAAGAAGCACCGGCUAACUCCGUGCCAGCAGCCGCGGUAAUACGGAGGGUGCGAGCGUUAAUCGGAAUUACUGGGCGUAAAGCGCGCGUAGGUGGCUUGAUAAGCCGGUUGUGAAAGCCCCGGGCUCAACCUGGGAACGGCAUCCGGAACUGUCAAGCUAGAGUGCAGGAGAGGAAGGUAGAAUUCCCGGUGUAGCAGUGAAAUGCGUAGAGAUCGGGAGGAAUACCAGUGGCGAAGGCGGCCUUCUGGACUGACACUGACACUGAGGUGCGAAAGCGUGGGUAGCAAACAGGAUUAGAUACCCGAGUAGUC
RNAcentral lists this ribosomal RNA (465 nucleotides) under Vreelandella stevensii. RNAcentral describes it as "partial 16S ribosomal RNA". It matches the Rfam family "Bacterial small subunit ribosomal RNA", at positions 338 to 795 of the family's 1533-position model. The record is from RNAcentral. Lineage: Bacteria; Pseudomonadati; Pseudomonadota; Gammaproteobacteria; Oceanospirillales; Halomonadaceae.